UGGGGAAUCUUAGACAAUGGGGGCAACCCUGAUCUAGCCAUGCCGCGUGAACGAUGAAGGCCUUAGGGUUGUAAAGUUCUUUCACCCGUGACGAUAAUGACGGUAGCGGGAGAAGAAGCCCCGGCUAACUCCGUGCCAGCAGCCGCGGUAAUACGGAGGGGGCUAGCGUUGUUCGGAAUUACUGGGCGUAAAGCGCGCGUAGGCGGGCUGGAAAGUUGGGGGUGAAAUCCCGGGGCUCAACCCCGGAACUGCCUUCAAAACUCCCAGUCUUGAGGUCGAGAGAGGUGAGUGGAAUACCGAGUGUAGAGGUGAAAUUCGUAGAUAUUCGGUGGAACACCAGUGGCGAAGGCGGCUCACUGGCUCGAUACUGACGCUGAGGUGCGAAAGCGUGGGGAGCAAACAGGAUUAGAUACCCGGGUAGUCC
RNAcentral lists this ribosomal RNA (424 nucleotides) under uncultured prokaryote. RNAcentral's name for it is "bacterial SSU rRNA". It matches the Rfam family "Bacterial small subunit ribosomal RNA", at positions 355 to 796 of the family's 1533-position model. The record is from RNAcentral.